This 440-nucleotide ribosomal RNA is filed under the name uncultured bacterium. Its description in RNAcentral is "partial 16S ribosomal RNA". It matches the Rfam family "Bacterial small subunit ribosomal RNA", at positions 338 to 795 of the family's 1533-position model. The record is from RNAcentral.
CCUACGAGUGGCAGCAGUGGGGAAUAUUGCACAAUGGGGGGAACCCUGAUGCAGCGACGCCGCGUGAGUGAAGAAGUAUUUCGGUAUGUAAAGCUCUAUCAGCAGGGAAGAAAAUGACGGUACCUGACUAAGCAGCCCCGGCUAACUACGUGCCAGCAGCCGCAGUAAUACGUAGGGGGUAAGCGUUAUCCGGAUUUACUGGGUGUAAAGGGGGCGUAGACGGUUAUGCAAGUCUGAAGUGAAAGUCCAAGGAUCAACCAUGGGACUGCUUUGGAAACUGUAAAACUGGAGUGCAGGAGAGGUAAGCGGAAUUCGUAGUGUAGCGGUGAAAUGCGUAGAUAGUAGGAGGAACACCAGUGGCGAAGGCGGCUUACUGGACUGUAACUGACGUUGAGGCUCGAAGGCGUGGGGAGCAAACAGGAUUAGAUACCCGAGUAGUC